Molecule: long non-coding RNA, 1082 nt
Organism: Ostrinia nubilalis (European corn borer)
Lineage: Eukaryota; Metazoa; Arthropoda; Insecta; Lepidoptera; Crambidae
Exons: 5
Source: RefSeq, a predicted model, not a curated record
AAAAAAUACAAAUAACUUAUCAAAACAACACAAGAGAAGAAUUAAAAUAAAAGAACAUAACAAGAAACAACAACAACAAUAACCUCGAAAAUCGAAUUAUCGAUUAAUCGCACAGAUGAUAUCGUAAGUAUCGUAAUAAAUUAAAAUUAAUCGGCUUGACAACUCCAGUGUGUACUAAUUAUUUAUUUAAGGUAAGUGACUGAUUAUUCCAAAGAAAGACACUCCAAGUAAAUAAUGCUAAAUACCGUUCAUCGAUAAAGAUUUAUAUUACAGCAACUUUUUAAUGCCACGGUUAAAUACACGACAGCGGUGGCAAAAUGAAAGUUCCCAAAGCGGUGUAAAAAAAAAAAAACGUUAAAAUAAAGAGAAAAAACUGUCACGGAGAGAAAAAAGGUUACCCAGCAAAUUAAAUAUUCAGAACAGCCAUUAAUUUUACAAAUUUUCGCGAGAGACGCCAUUUAUGCCAUGUGUUUGCCACGUAAUAAAGCGAGAAAAGCUCUUUAUUAUUGAAAUUACGGCAGGCGACAGCAGGAAGAGAGAGAAUGUCUCGCGUGGAUCCACCCCGCUCGCUCGUACCUAGCCCGGCAAACACGCCGCACCGCACUUCCCGGAUUGUUUUAGGGUGCGCCAAAGAGCCGGGGAAACCGCCAGUCGAAGCUCAACCGGACGCUAGAAAUUAUUUAUGCUGGGACACGCCUGCCAACGCACGCGCACGUCGUGUACAUCCCCCUGGCACGCAAUGGCGGCGGCAGGUCGUUCCAGCACCGCGACGCAGCGAAUCUGAAGGAGCCUCGAAAUGCCACAGUGCGAUGUCUUGGAGUAGCAAAGAUGUGGGUGCACUGCCUCCUUGGAUAUCCGCUGUGGACCCACUCCAGCUUUAGGAAUAGCAAUAUCCUACAUUGGAACAACCUGUGAUAGUGUGAAAUUGUAUCACCGCUGGGAAUUAUCAGUACCGAACCAACAACAACGAGACAAAAAAGCGAUAAAUGAAGCAUAUAAAACAAAUUUUGGUCGACCGCCAGUCAUUGCGCCGGGGAGCCGAACACCCUCACAACGUCCUCCAUAGAGCGCAGCUGGAACAC